Molecule: long non-coding RNA, 380 nt
Organism: Sorghum bicolor (sorghum)
Lineage: Eukaryota; Viridiplantae; Streptophyta; Magnoliopsida; Poales; Poaceae
Exons: 2
Source: RefSeq, a predicted model, not a curated record
GCGAGCGAGGGCGGCCGCCGCGCAACGUCGCAAGGAGAGCCCAAUGAUCGACGCGGCCACGCUCCAUCCGAUCACGCAAUCAAGAUCACGCUGAUCGGAGCUUCCACUGUCGACUUAGGCGUGGGCGAUCGAGCGUGGCGUCCACGGACCCGUGAGACCAUCCGUUAUAGAGAGAUCAGAUCCAGGCGCCGUCAAGCUGAAGGCUUCAUGCAUGUCUCCAGCAGAGAUGUUUGAAUGUUGCAAAGAUAUGUCAUAAACAUUCGGCUGGUGCUAAGAGAAGAAAACGAAAACGAGUCAUCAUAUACAGGUUCUAAGUCUCUGGGCAUUUUUUAUUGGUCGCUAUUAAACUUAUUCAAUUAAGAACAUAUCAUUGUGAAUUA